CCGGACCCCAGAUCAAACCCACCAUGCUGUAUGGCAACUCUGUCAAUUACCCCAGCAGAAGGAAGAGCAGUCCCUGGCUCCCAACCUCCGCAGGAUCCUGGGCUGCCCUUCACUCAUUGUGAUAUUACUGAGCUGGAAGGGGGGGUCAGUGGCAAUUUUUGGACACAAAACAAAAUGGUUAUGGGAUAUGAACCAUUCCUAAGCUGGUGAGGGAAAAGAGAGGGGAAAAGAGAAGUAAAUAAGGCAAAAAUGUCUUCAGCAAGCAGAACUGCUAUGUGAGAUGUGGGCUACAGUAUAAGUGCCAGUAGUAGAGCGGCUAUGUUUCAUGCUGUAUAUAUAUCUAAUCAGAACUAAAACCAAUUAUGUUUAUGUGCUUAUGAACAUAGAAAGUCUUGGGUUGGAAGGGACCUUGAAGAUCAUCCAGUUCCAAUGCCCUGCCAUGGACAGGGAACGCUCCAUUAGAGCAGGUUGCUCAGAGUCCCAUCCCACCCAACUUAAGAGACACAAGAAGAAAUGGGUCAAAGAAGCCCCUUUACCAACUCCAAGGGGCUGGCCAAAGGGAUUGAAUUGAAUCACAUGAAAGAAGUUUGCAAGAAACCCACUACACCUAAAAGGCAACUUCAGACAUAGACACCAUCUAGCAUUUGCACACCGGCUAUUUAAAUCAAGGCUCUCCAAACUUAAAACAGGACUUUAAACAGGACUGAAAAAAAGUUUAAAAUGGACUGAGAUUCCCAUUGUUGGAAAUUAUAUAAAGUUUAACAUUUUUAAUGUAACUUGAGUCAGUUUUGUUUGCCUUUGCUCAGAGGGAAGGGAAUUGAAGUUUCUUUUCAGGGGACUUUUCCACCAGGUGAGGUCUGAUGAGUUUAACACCUGGACAAACUAGGAGUAGUGCAGAAGAUACACAGAAGACAGCAACCAUGAAUGAUCAUAGCUCUGAAAAACACCCCUGGCAUGGUCUGAGAUGUGUGGUCAGGGAAAAGACAGAUAAGAAUGAGAAUCUAAGCAGCACCGGAAGCAAAGAAAUCCAUAUCCAAUAGAAAAUCAAAUACUAAGAACUUGGGACAAAUGGACAUUGAACCAAUAAAUUUUUAUGGGGUUUGACGGUAUAAAACAUGAAAAAUCUAGCAAAAUUCAUGUGUGAUGGAGUGAUUUUCUCUGCACAGCCCUG
Passer domesticus (house sparrow) is the source of this 1171-nucleotide long non-coding RNA. RefSeq lists it as uncharacterized. The transcript has 3 exons. NCBI's taxonomy places the organism in Eukaryota, Metazoa, Chordata, Aves, Passeriformes, Passeridae. The record is from RefSeq and is a predicted model, not a curated record.